AAAGUACUCCUUCCGUCCCAAAUUAGUUGUCUUAGAUUUGUCUAGAUACGGAUGUAUCUAGACAUGUUUUAGUGUUAGCUACAUCUGUAUCUAGACAAAUCUAAGACAAGUAAUGUGGGACGGAGGUAAUACAUA
Molecule: non-coding RNA, 135 nt
Organism: Triticum aestivum (bread wheat)
Lineage: Eukaryota; Viridiplantae; Streptophyta; Magnoliopsida; Poales; Poaceae
Source: Rfam